ACCAACAGGGAUUGCCUCAGUAACGGCGAGUGAAGCGGCAACAGCUCAAAUUUGAAAUCUGGCUCUUUCAGAGUCCGAGUUGUAAUUUGUAGAAGAUGCUUCGGGUGCGGCCCCAGUCUAAGUUCCUUGGAAGAGGACGUCAUAGAGGGUGAGAAUCCCGUAUGUGACCAGGUGCCCGCGCCCAUGUGAAGCUCUUUCGACGAGUCGAGUUGUUUGGGAAUGCAGCUCUAAAUGGGUGGUAUAUUUCAUCUAAAGCUAAAUAUUGGCCAGAGACCGAUAGCGCACAAGUAGAGUGAUCGAAAGAUGAAAAGCACUUUGGAAAGAGAGUUAAACAGUACGUGAAAUUGUUGAAAGGGAAGCGCUUGCAAUCAGACUUGCGUGCCGUCGAUCAUCCCAGGUUCUCCUAGGUGCACUCGGCGGCGCUCAGGCCAGCAUCGGUUCUGGUGGUGGGAUAAAGGCCUUGGGAAUGUAGCUCCUUUCGGGGAGUGUUAUAGCCCUCGGUGCAAUGCCGCCUACCGGGACCGAGGACCGCGCUUCGGCUAGGAUGCUGGCGUAAUGGUUGUAAGCGACCCGUCUUGAAACACGGACCAAGGAGUCUAACAUCUAUGCGAGUGUUUGGGUGUCAAACCCAUACGCGUAAUGAAAGUGAACGGAGCUAAGAACCCUUUAGGGUGCAUUAGCGACCGAUCCUGAUGUCUUCGGACGGAUUUGAGUACGAGCAUAGCUGUUGGGACCCGAAAGAUGGUGAACUAUGCCUGAAUAGGGUGAAGCCAGAGGAAACUCUGGUGGAGGCUCGCAGCGGUUCUGACGUGCAAAUCGAUCGUCAAAUUUGGGCAUAGGGGCGAAAGACUAAUCGAACCAUUAAACGCUAGGUGGUCAAGAGGGCGCUGGACAGCG
RNAcentral lists this ribosomal RNA (897 nucleotides) under Ascocoryne cylichnium. RNAcentral's name for it is "partial large subunit ribosomal RNA". It matches the Rfam family "Eukaryotic large subunit ribosomal RNA", at positions 64 to 979 of the family's 3401-position model. Lineage: Eukaryota; Fungi; Ascomycota; Leotiomycetes; Helotiales; Gelatinodiscaceae. The record is from RNAcentral.